CGUAAAGAGUUGCGUAGGUGGCAUAGAAAGCGAGUAGUGAAAGCGUGUGGCUCAACCAUACAUCCAUUACUUGAACUACUAAGCUAGAGUAUGAGAGAGGUAGAUGGAAUUCCCUGUGUAGGAGUGAAAUCCGUAGAUAUAGGGAGGAACACCGAUGGCGUAAGCAGUCUACUGGCUCAUUACUGACACUAAGGCACGAAAGCGUGGGGAGCAAACGGGAUUAGAUACCCCCGGUAGUCCACGCCGUAAACUAUGGAUGCUAGCUGUUAGAGGUAUCGACCCCUCUAGUAGCGAAGCUAACGCGUUAAGCAUCCCGCCUGUGGAGUACGGUCGCAAGACUAAAACAUAAAGGAAUUGACGGGGAGCCGCACAAGCGGUGGAGUGUGUUGUUUAAUUCGAUGGUAAGCGAAGAACCUUACCCAGGCUUGACAUCCUUGGAAGUUCUGUGAAAGCAGAGUGUGCCUUCGGGAACCAAGUGACAGGUGUUGCAUGGCCGUCGUCAGCUCGUGUCGUGAGAUGUUAGGUUAAGUCCUUCAACGAGCGCAACCCUUAUAGUUAGUUGUAUUUUUCUAGCUAGACUGCCCUGGCAACAGGGAGGAAGGAGGGGAUGAUGUCAGGUCAGUAUUACCCUUACGUCUGGGGCUACAAACACACUACAAUGGCCAGUACAAUGGGCAGCCAAGUCGUGAGACGGAGCAAAUCCCAUCAAAGCUGGUCCCAGUUCGGAUUGCAGGCUGAAACUCGCCUGCAUGAAGUUGGAAUCGCUAGUAAUGGUAGGUCAGCAUACUACCGUGAAUACGUUCCCGGCUCUUGUACACACCGCCCGUCAAACCAUGAAAGUCGCCAAUACCUGACGUGUUAGCUUGUCUAGCCCUAAGGUAGGGGAGAUGAUUGGGGUUAAGUCGUAACAAGGUA
RNAcentral lists this ribosomal RNA (915 nucleotides) under uncultured soil bacterium. RNAcentral's name for it is "bacterial SSU rRNA". It matches the Rfam family "Bacterial small subunit ribosomal RNA", at positions 559 to 1498 of the family's 1533-position model. The record is from RNAcentral.